Molecule: ribosomal RNA, 400 nt
Filed under: uncultured bacterium
Lineage: Bacteria
Description: bacterial SSU rRNA
Rfam family: Bacterial small subunit ribosomal RNA
Source: RNAcentral
GGGAAUAUUGGACAAUGGGCGCAAGCCUGAUCCAGCCAUGCCGCGUGAGUGAUGAAGGCCUUAGGGUUGUAAAGCUCUUUUAGCAGGGAAGAUAAUGACGGUACCCGCAGAAAAAGCCCCGGCUAACUUCGUGCCAGCAGCCGCGGUAAUACGAAGGGGGCUAGCGUUGCUCGGAAUUACUGGGCGUAAAGCGCACGUAGGCGGACUCUUAAGUCGGUGGUGAAAUCCUGGAGCUCAACUCCAGAACUGCCUUCGAUACUGGGAGUCUUGAGUUCGGGAGAGGUGAGUGGAACUGCGAGGGUAGAGGUGAAAUUCGUAGAUAUUCGCAAGAACACCAGUGGCGAAGGCGGCUCACUGGCCCGAUACUGACGCUGAGGUGCGAAAGCGUGGGGAGCAAACA